ACGUAGGAGACAAGCGUUAUCCGGAUUUACUGGGCGUAAAGCGCGUGCAGGCGGUUCGGUAAGUCGGGCGUGAAAGCUCCUGGCUCAACUGGGAGAGGCCGUCCGAAACUGCCGGGCUUGAGGGCGACAGAGGGGAGUGGAAUUCCGGGUGUAGUGGUGAAAUGCGUAGAGAUCCGGAGGAACACCAGUGGCGAAGGCGGUUCGCUGGGCCUACUCUGACGCUCAGACGCGACAGCAUGGGGAGCGAACGG
Molecule: ribosomal RNA, 251 nt
Filed under: uncultured prokaryote
Description: partial 16S ribosomal RNA
Rfam family: Bacterial small subunit ribosomal RNA
Source: RNAcentral